This 1071-nucleotide ribosomal RNA is filed under the name Streptococcus suis. Its description in RNAcentral is "bacterial SSU rRNA". It matches the Rfam family "Bacterial small subunit ribosomal RNA", at positions 461 to 1533 of the family's 1533-position model. Lineage: Bacteria; Bacillati; Bacillota; Bacilli; Lactobacillales; Streptococcaceae. The record is from RNAcentral.
UUCACACAGUGACGGUAACUUACCAGAAAGGGACGGCUAACUACGUGCCAGCAGCCGCGGUAAUACGUAGGUCCCGAGCGUUGUCCGGAUUUAUUGGGCGUAAAGCGAGCGCAGGCGGUUUGAUAAGUCUGAAGUAAAAGGCUGUGGCUUAACCAUAGUAUGCUUUGGAAACUGUCAAACUUGAGUGCAGAAGGGGAGAGUGGAAUUCCAUGUGUAGCGGUGAAAUGCGUAGAUAUAUGGAGGAACACCGGUGGCGAAAGCGGCUCUCUGGUCUGUAACUGACGCUGAGGCUCGAAAGCGUGGGGAGCGAACAGGAUUAGAUACCCUGGUAGUCCACGCCGUAAACGAUGAGUGCUAGGUGUUGGGUCCUUUCCGGGACUCAGUGCCGCAGCUAACGCAUUAAGCACUCCGCCUGGGGAGUACGACCGCAAGGUUGAAACUCAAAGGAAUUGACGGGGGCCCGCACAAGCGGUGGAGCAUGUGGUUUAAUUCGAAGCAACGCGAAGAACCUUACCAGGUCUUGACAUCCCAGUGACCGUCCUAGAGAUAGGAUUUUUCUUCGGAACACUGGAGACAGGUGGUGCAUGGUUGUCGUCAGCUCGUGUCGUGAGAUGUUGGGUUAAGUCCCGCAACGAGCGCAACCCCUAUUGUUAGUUGCCAUCAUUCAGUUGGGCACUCUAGCGAGACUGCCGGUAAUAAACCGGAGGAAGGUGGGGAUGACGUCAAAUCAUCAUGCCCCUUAUGACCUGGGCUACACACGUGCUACAAUGGCUGGUACAACGAGUCGCAAGUCGGUGACGACAAGCUAAUCUCUUAAAGCCAGUCUCAGUUCGGAUUGUAGGCUGCAACUCGCCUACAUGAAGUCGGAAUCGCUAGUAAUCGCGGAUCAGCACGCCGCGGUGAAUACGUUCCCGGGCCUUGUACACACCGCCCGUCACACCACGAGAGUUUGUAACACCCGAAGUCGGUGAGGUAACCAUUUGGAGCCAGCCGCCUAAGGUGGGAUAGAUGAUUGGGGUGAAGUCGUAACAAGGUAGCCGUAUCGGAAGGUGCGGCUGGAUCACCUCCUUU